AUACGGAGGAUCCGAGCGUUAUCCGGAUUUAUUGGGUUUAAAGGGUGCGCAGGCGGGAUGUUAAGUCGGCGGUGAAAUUUUGCAGCUCAACUGUAAAAGUGCCUUCGAUACUGGCUUCCUUGAGUGUGGAUGAAGUAGGCGGAAUUUGUGGUGUAGCGGUGAAAUGCUUAGAUAUCACGAGGAACUCCGAUUGCGCAGGCAGCUUACUAAACCACUACUGACGCUCAUGCACGAAGGCGUGGGGAUCAAACAGGAUUAGAUACCCUGGUAGUCCACGCAGUAAACGAUGAUUACUAGUUGUUUGCGAUACAAUGUAAGCGACUGAGCGAAAGCGUUAAGUAAUCCACCUGGGGAGUACGUUCGCAAGAAUGAA
Molecule: ribosomal RNA, 373 nt
Filed under: uncultured bacterium
Lineage: Bacteria
Description: bacterial SSU rRNA
Rfam family: Bacterial small subunit ribosomal RNA
Source: RNAcentral